GUCAAUAACUCACCGCUAAGUCCUAUGGGACUAUAGCGGGAGCUUGUAGAAGCUCAUAGUUGACCAGACUAAGACUUGAUAAUGGUCUACGUUAUUUGAGUCAUAACACCUGUAGGUGCGUGCCAGCCUUCAGCUCUGUUGUUAACAAUUAAACAUCUGUAGAGAGUUAAGGAAGUGUUGUUAACCUAAAAAGCUCUUAUAACAUUGUCAAGGCAAACUUUAC
This is a non-coding RNA of Lyngbya majuscula, 223 nucleotides long. The record is from Rfam. NCBI's taxonomy places the organism in Bacteria, Bacillati, Cyanobacteriota, Cyanophyceae, Oscillatoriales, Microcoleaceae.